GUGUCUGCCAGUCCCUAAACACCUGCAUAUCCAGUAUGGCGGGAAGAAAAGGAACAGGAUCGGCGAGCAGAGGCAUCAGGCUGGGCAGAGCUCCGGGAACGUAAGGUACCCAGUUCCUGCCCUGAGUCCUCUCUUCUUCGCUUGCUGGCCUUGUGGGACUGAGCAACUGCUAGAUCCUUGGACUUCCAUUCACAGCUGCUGCUGACCAUUGUUGGGGAGUUGGACUACAGACUAGUCCAGGAGGGGACCUGGCUGCACAUGCUGAACUAAGGACCUUGAAGCCAGGUGUCCUGGAUUCAGCCCAGUCUCCCAACGGGUACUCCCUUGCUUAACCUGAAAUGUCAAAUGCAAUUGGAUAACACUAAAGCUUCCCCCACCCCCACCCCAUUUGUGUUCCCAUCCUUUAAAUAUUGUAUGAUCCCAGCCUCACCCCGUGCUCAGAAAACAAAGCUUUCAUUUUUAAGCUUCUGAAGUUCUGAAGUGAGUUUUCUGGUCUUCCUCCCCGAACCAACCAGAUACGGUAUCUCAAGAGGAGGAGGAAGAGGGGGAAGAGGGGGAAGAAGAGGAGGGCAAAGAGGAGAAGGGGAGGAGGAAGAAGAAGAGGAAAAUGGG
This is a long non-coding RNA of Apodemus sylvaticus (European woodmouse), 612 nucleotides long. RefSeq lists it as uncharacterized. Lineage: Eukaryota; Metazoa; Chordata; Mammalia; Rodentia; Muridae. The record is from RefSeq and is a predicted model, not a curated record. The transcript has 3 exons.